Non-coding RNA from Xylaria sp. FL1042, 113 nucleotides. The record is from the annotation of a GenBank genome assembly. Lineage: Eukaryota; Fungi; Ascomycota; Sordariomycetes; Xylariales; Xylariaceae.
GGACCCGUAGCUCAGCGGUAGAGCAUCUGAUUCCAGCUUGAAAAUAGUCGAGUAGUUCUACUCCACUAUCAACCGUAUCCAGAAGGUCAUCCGUUCAAAUCGGGUCGGGUUCA